CAGUAGCCGCGGUAAUACAGAGGGUGCAAGCGUUAAUCGGAAUUACUGGGCGUAAAGCGCGCGUAGGUGGUUUGUUAAGUUGGAUGUGAAAUCCCCGGGCUCAAUCUGGGAACUGCAUCCAAAACUGGCAAGCUAGAGUAUGGUAGAGGGUGGUGGAAUUUCCUGUGUAGCGGUGAAAUGCGUAGAUAUAGGAAGGAACACCAGUGGCGAAGGCGACCACCUGGACUGAUACUGACACUGAGGUGCGAAAGCGUGGGGAGCAAACAGGAUUAGAUACCCCCGUAGUCCCUGUCUCUUAUAC
This 301-nucleotide ribosomal RNA is filed under the name uncultured bacterium. RNAcentral's name for it is "partial 16S ribosomal RNA". It matches the Rfam family "Bacterial small subunit ribosomal RNA", at positions 509 to 807 of the family's 1533-position model. The record is from RNAcentral.